This 468-nucleotide ribosomal RNA is filed under the name uncultured bacterium. Its description in RNAcentral is "partial 16S ribosomal RNA". It matches the Rfam family "Bacterial small subunit ribosomal RNA", at positions 28 to 507 of the family's 1533-position model. The record is from RNAcentral.
GACGAACGCUGGCGGCGUGCUUAACACAUGCAAGUCGAACGGAAAGGCCCUGCUUUUGUGGGGUGCUCGAGUGGCGAACGGGUGAGUAACACGUGAGUAACCUGCCCUUGACUUUGGGAUAACUUCAGGAAACUGGGGCUAAUACCGGAUAGGAGCUCCUGCUGCAUGGUGGGGGUUGGAAAGUUUCGGCGGUUGGGGAUGGACUCGCGGCUUAUCAGCUUGUUGGUGGGGUAGUGGAUGACCAAGGCUUUGACGGGUAGCCGGCCUGAGAGGGUGACCGGGCACAUUGCGACUGAGAUACGGCCCAGACUGCUACGGGAGGCAGCAGUGGGGAAUAUGGCACAAUGGGCGGAAGCCUGAUGCAGCAACGCCGCGUGCGGGAUGAUGGCUUUCGGGUUGUAAACCGCUUUCGCAUGUGACGAAGCGUGAGUGACGGUAAUGGGUAAAGAAGCACCGGCUAACUACGUG